Molecule: ribosomal RNA, 472 nt
Filed under: uncultured bacterium
Lineage: Bacteria
Description: partial 16S ribosomal RNA
Rfam family: Bacterial small subunit ribosomal RNA
Source: RNAcentral
GAUGAACGCUGGCGGAGUGCCUUAAGCAUGCAAGUCGAGCGCCCCGCAAGGGGAGCGGCAAACGGGUGAGGAAUACAUGGGAAUGUACCUUUUGGUUCGGAAUAGCCUCGGGAAACUAGGAUUAAUACCGGAUGUGGUCUACGGACUAAAGAUUUAUCGCCAAAAGAUCAGCCCAUGCCUGAUUAGUUAGUUGGUAGGGUAAUUGCCUAGCAAGACAAUGAUCAGUAGCUGGUUUGAGAGGAUGAUCAGCCACACUGGGACUGAGACACGGCCCAGACUCCUACGGGAGGCAGCAGUGGGGAAUUUUGGACAAUGGGCGCAAGCCUGAUCCAGCAAUGCCGCGUGCAGGAAGAAGGCCUUCGGGUUGUAAACUGCUUUUGUACGGAACGAAACGGUUCUCUCUAAUACAGGGGGCUAAUGACGGUACCGUAAGAAUAAGCACCGGCUAACUACGUGCCAGCCGCCGCGGUAA